Molecule: ribosomal RNA, 117 nt
Filed under: Periophthalmus magnuspinnatus
Lineage: Eukaryota; Metazoa; Chordata; Actinopteri; Gobiiformes; Gobiidae
Source: RNAcentral
UCUUGUGUCCAAACCUCUUUGUCAAAACCUUAUCUUAUCAGAUCUCAGACGCUAAGCAGAGCUGGGUCUGGUUGGUACUUGGAUGGGAGAUUGCUGGGAAUAAGGAUGGGUCAAACA